This 16608-nucleotide long non-coding RNA is filed under the name Prunus persica (peach). RNAcentral's name for it is "long non-coding RNA (PPER_LNC008289)". Lineage: Eukaryota; Viridiplantae; Streptophyta; Magnoliopsida; Rosales; Rosaceae. The record is from RNAcentral.
UCAGAGAUCCAGUGAAGAGCAUAAGAAGAGUGAACAAAGUGCAGAGAAUUAUUGGGGAAGAGCCUGCCAUAGAAAGAACCAGGCAUUCCUGCAAUAAAACAUGACCCAAACUUCUUCUCAUGUUCUUCAUCAAGUUUCUUAUAGAAGCCUGGCAAUGACCUGAACACCGUGUUGAAAUCGUUUCCAGGAAGAUCAUUCAAGAAGGCUUGGAGUGAUGGAGGUGGGCGGUUGAGUUUUUGGUAAGUUGUGUGGAUGCUGUCAAUGAUAUCUGAUACCACCAAAAGGGUGUUGGGUCCUGAAGAGCAUCCCAAGUCCGCUACUUUCAAACACUCUGGGAAGAGAGUGCAACACAGCUCCUCUAUGCUUGCACCAACUAUGGGCUUCACCAUUGAAAUCACUGCUCUCUGAAGAAAAAACAUAAACGAGGUUGAAGGAAGCAUGAAUAUUGCAUAAUUCCUCCUCUCUACCAGAUUUUUUUUUUUGGUGCAUAAUUUUGGUUAUAACUUAUGACUAUCAAAAUUAUUUUAGAAAACCACGUUCUUUAAGUGGUGGAUAUAUAUAUAUGUAUAUAUAUAUAUAUAUAUAGAGAGAGAGAGAGAGAGAGAGAGAGAGAGGGUGACUAACUUGAAGUAGGGAAUUGUUUGCAUAGCUUGUUUUCCCAACUCCUCCAUUCAUGUGUAGGACUUGCUCUACCUUCAUUUUUGUGUUCUCAAAUAAUACUUCUCUCCCUCUUGGUAACAAUUCUGCUAGAAGACUCCCACAUAUUUAUAGCCAAAGCCGAGACUUUUUAAAAGUUCGGUAGUUAUCUAACUUGCAAACCAAAAACUUUGGUUCACGUGGCCAUGAAAAAGCUUGAGGCUGAGGAUUCAAAGUACAAAAACAACCGAACCUUAAUCUCCUGCCAUCGAGGUUUAGUUCAUUGGAAAAUAGUAUUGAUUUGUAGAUCAGAGGUUUUAAGUUCAAAACUCCAUGAUAUCUCUCAUCUGUAAAUUAUUAAUAUAACGAUAUGCAAAUUAUCAAAAUCGGCCUUGAAAAGGAGGCAUGAAGUAUUGUUGAUUAAUAAUUGGUGAAUGAUUAUAGCUUAGAACUAGUUCGCUACUCUCGCCCAAAUAAAUUUAGAGUGAUGCUAUUACAACCCCAUUUUCCUAUUUGAAGAAGCCGUUGAUGCAUCUAGGCAAAGACCAGAAGUCUUACUCUACACUCCUUAUGCAAGCCUAUGUAGGGUAGGGUUUUUGUGCUUGUAAUGUGUGCAAAAGUCUUACUCAUCCAUAUGUAUAGGUGACAGUAUUUGGGUCCAUAUGACCCUUUUGAUCCAAUAUGGUAGGGUUUUUUGUGCUUGUAAUGUGUGCAAAAGUCUUACUCUACACAGUCUUACUCUACACUUCUUAUGCAAGCCUAUUUAGGGUAGGGUUUUUUGCGCUUGUAGGGUUUUUUGCACUUGUAAUGUGUGUAUAAGAGAGGAGACCUAAGCUUUAUAUGCAUAGGUGACAGUAUUAGGGUCCAUAUGACUCUUUUGACCCAAUAUGGUUUCCACCUGGGGCAAACCGAAUAAAGUAAAGUCUGAACGCGCCAAGGUGGAUGAGGAGAGCUUCAACUUUUAAUCCAACAACUUCAACUUCUAAAAUAGAACAAAAAGAGAUCAUCGCACUGCAUCAAUUACUGUUUUCCCUAAUAUAAGCUUGAGUGCUUCUUCACCAUGCUCAUCAAUUCGUAUCUACCAAAACAACAAAAGGGGGCUUGAGAAACACUCAAAAAAUCUUAUUUUCCCGAGCAAAUUUUGAUUUGAUUUGUGACUUUUUGUUUCUCCCUAUGUCUAACCAAUAAUUUGCAUACGCGAAUAUGAAAAUAUUUUGCACUUUUAAAAAUUCCGUAUUUGUUUUCUCAUACCUUCAAUAUUACGGUAAGGGGUAUAUCAAGUUUAAGGAUAAACACGCUUAGUCACUUAAGCGACAAAUCUUUUAUUUACAAAUAAUAUUUUCAAAAACCUUGUUGGCUUUUUUUUUCAUUUUUUAUUAAGUGUAGGUGUUUUGUUGAUGUAUAGUGUGGAUGCAGAUUUCGUCCAAAAAACAGUAGUAGUGUGGAUGCAGAUAGAACAGUCUGUUUUGAAGUCUCAAUAUCACAAUCACACCUUUAAUAAUAGAGGAACUUUUUUAUUUGGUAUAGAGAAACUUUAAGUCCUGCUCAACAGAGGAUCCCAAUGCCCACUCACAAAUGUACGGACGUGACCACACGAAGGAUGUUAAUGGGAUCAUAAACGCGAAAAUAUAUUAUGGGGCGUGCGAAACAAAAUCCAAUUAGGCGAAAAAUUUGUAGAAGAUGUUGCGCCAGGUGUUGCGCGUUGAUGUGACACCUUUUUUAUUAUUUAUCUAUGUAUUUAUUUCAACAUCAACCCAAAUUGAUGAUCCAUAUUAAAUUUAAGCUAUUUUAAUGAUAAAAAAUAAUAAAAAAUAAUUGAUAUUUAAAUCUAGUGGUUAAAAUAAUAUUUUAAAUUAAUUUAAAUCAUAUUCAAAUUCACUCCAAACUCUAUAAAUACUCACUUAUUUCUCAAAUAAAAUUAUAUUUAUGGAAUUUCAAUUUUUUUAGUCAAAUUUUUCAAAAAAUUAAAUUAUGAAGUUAUUUAAAAACAUUAAAUGAAGAAAAGUUAUCCCUGGAAAAAAAAAAAUUAGACUUAAACCAUUCUUAAACUAUUUAAUAAAGUUGCGGACUAAAAAUUUAAUUAUGAACGGUUGGGGGAAAAAACGAUUUUAGUCUGGACAAAACCCAAAUAGUUACUUUUUGGAAUGGAAAAUUUUAAGUUUAUGACCAAAUGAGUUGGAGAAGGCCUAAGAGAAUUAAUUAAGAUGGUUUUCACAUCAACUGCUUGAAGCUUCAAGGAGGUUUCUUCUUAAUGUUCACCAUGUGACAAGUAUUCUAUUGACUAGAGUUCCAUUAUCCCGUCUCUUAAGACCACUAUUCGUAACUCAAUAUUUUUUUCAUUAGACUAGAUUCUGUUGGCGAAAAAUUUAUUAUAUUCUACAUUAAUGUUGUUAAAAAAAAGUGGUACAAAUCACCUUUUCACCCAAACUAAUGUGUCUUUUUUGUUGUUGUUGUCUCAGUUAGAUAUACUUGAAUACUUUUCGAUUUGAGUGGAUUGUAUUUUCAAGCAAUAAUCUUCCCGUGAUGACUUAAGAAAAUGAAGUAUUCGGAUAAUGGGAAGUAUUAGGGAGUGAAUCCAAAAAAGUAAUUUUGAUAUUUCCGACAUGUAGUCUAGAUAACAGCCAUAAAUGUAGUCUAGACAUGUAGUCUAGUUACUAGCUAGCUACUUACUAUUAUCUAAUCAUCUAUAUUACACAUUACAUCUAAAACCAUGUCAUUGAGUUUCAAUCCGACCAAUUCCAUAAUCUUCUUUGUGUGAUUCUAAGCAACAAAAAAACAUCUAAUUAACAAUCUUCAACAUGAACUUCUUUUUUCAAGGGUCUUAAAUUUGAGUUUGGAUAGCUAGUUAGGGUUUUGGGUUUUCUACGAAUCGAAAACUGAAGCUACAUUGAUAAUUUUCCAAAGAAACUUCGCUUCCAUUUCCUUUAACGCGUUUUAAAUCGAAGUAUGAAUAACACAAAGAUGACCAAAUGCCAACAACUUUAUUCUUAACAAUAAACUGAAGUCCAAGAGACCUCAAAGGUACAAACGUUACAUAAACAAAGCAUAUGGAACAUAAGCCCCAUUUCUUGAAUAUUCAUCUCAACGCUUCUUUGUCAACGAAAUAACCAGGUUAAUGAACUGGCAGUUUUCCCUUUCCAUGUGAUCAAGAACAUCUGCUUCAAACCUACGAAACAAAUCGUCCAUGGGUGCUUCUCCGAAUUGGCUUGCCAGAAUCGGCUCUCCCACAGCCCUUAUGUCAGUGGCAAAUAUUGCAGCCCUUGUCUUCUUAUCAAGGCCAUUGUUAGCUUGCUUGACAUAAGAAUCCCAAUCAUUUUUGAAAACUUCAAGGUUUUGCAAAAUAAAAGAUCCUUCAGCCUCGAUCACCUCUUCGAUCUCCAUGGUUGUAGGUGCAUAGUAUGGCAUAUUGAAUGUGUCCAAUUUUUCCUCUUCAAUCAAACCCUGAAAAUUCAUCGAAGUACAUUUCAAAUUAGCAAUAAUUAAUGUGUCCCAAAUCUAUUAGAAAUAAAUAUGAUCUAAUAUUUAAUUACCUCAAAAACCAUGUCAUUGAGCUUCAUUCCUACAAAUUCCCAAAUGCAGAGGGGAUCGUCACUCUUAAUGCUGCCCAUGGUUGUGAGGACCAUACUGCCCCCAGGGACGAGCUCUUCGGCACGUGACCUCAGAAAGACUGUGAAGUCCCUUUUGAAUUGCUCCAAGUAUUGCUUAAACACAGCUGGAGGGCUUGUCUUUGCUAUAUAUAUGUUCCCCUUGUUAAGUGCCUCUCCUUCUUUGGUCACCAUGCCUUUUGGAACCUACGUACACACGUUUAUGCUCAUCACUUGUCAGAUUAAAUUAUCAGACACGAUUUUAGAAUUAUUAUUAUUUUACCAAUUGAAUAAAGCUAAAAAAUUAGACAAACUUGCAAGAUAUUUUUGUGUUUGAAUGGAGCAUCCUGCCAUGUGGUGUAACUAAUGAGUUAUAUAUAACUGGGUGUAUGAAGAGUUUAUGCCUAAUAACGACUCAAUGAUUGAUUAAAAAAAAUCCAAACCUCAGAGAUCCACAUGAGAGCAUAAGAAGAGUGAACAAAGUGGAGAGAAUUGUCGGGGAAGAGCCUGCCAUAGAAAGAGCCAGGCAUUCCUGCAAUGAAACAUGGCCCAAGCUUCUUUUCAGGUUCUUCAUCAAGUUUCUUAUAGAAGCCUGGCAAUGACCUGAACACCGUGUUGAAAUCGUUUCGGGGAAGAUCAUUCAAGAAGGCUUGGAGUGAUGGAGGUGGGCGGUUGAGCUUUUGGAAAGUGUUGCGGAUGUUGUCUAUGAUAUCUGAUACCACCAAAAGGGUGUUGGGUCCUGAAGAGCAUCCCAAGUCCGCUACUUUCAAACACUCUGGGAACAGAGUGCAACACAGCUCCUCUAUGCUUGCAUCAACUAUAGGCUUCACCGUUGAAAUCACUGCUCUCUGAAAGUUAUAAAAAUAAAAAUAAAAAGGGUUUAAGAAAGCAUGAAUAUUGCGUAGUUUUGGUUAGCAAAAUAGUUUGAGAACAAGCCAUGCUCUUUAAGUGUGCUUGAUAUAAAAUCAACGCAACUAGGGGAAGAGAGAGAGAGACUAACUUGAAGUAGGGAAUUGUUUGCAUAGCUUGUUUUCCCAACUCCUCCAUUCAUGUGUAGAACUUGCUCUACCUCCAUUUUUAUGUUCUCAAAUAAUACUCCUUCCUGUCUCUCUCACUCUCUUUCUCUUGGUAUCUAUUCUGCUGGAAGACUCCCUCAUAUUUAUAGCAAAAUGCUUACCCAACACAACUAACCUUACUUUUUUACUUGGAAAGUAUGUGGUUAUCAAAAUUCCAAUUCACAACUAAUACCUCUUAAUUACUAACUUGCACCAACAACUUUUAACGUUUUGAGGUGCAUGAUCUAACACAGCUUACGUGAGAUUAAGUACGUCAUAAGCUAGAAAUAUGAUUUAAUUGACCAAGUGUACAAACAACCUAAUCAACUUUUGAGGCGACAAAGUAAGUAGUGCGGCUUAUUACGUAGGGCCCCACAAGUCACCAACGUUAAUUAUAUUUCAGACUAUGGUCUUAAGUAUUAGAUUCCUAUGUAACUAACACAUCUUUGGCAGCAUUAGGUGUCUAACAGUGUACACUACUUUUCCUGAAUUAAAAGUUUGAUGGAAGUGCUGGUCUCUCCUUUCCUAUUAAGGGCGAAGAGAUUUCAACAUUGUAUAACGGGACUAUGAAAAUAAUUGUACAAUACGUGUCCAUCGUGUAAAACUCGUGGACGGUGGAGAGCGAGGGCCAUCUUUUGGAGCUUAAUGACGUGGUUCAUCCAUGACCAAUGAAUCAUGCAGCAGAGCCGAAAGGGCCAAUAAUGUGAGAUCGAAUGGUCUUGUUCAAAAAGAAUUUCCUUUCCAUGGGGAAUUCUCAAUUUCUCAUGCCCAGUGUUAAGAAACUAAAAUGAGGCCUAUUCUUUUUUGUCUUAUUUUAAAAUGAGGCCUAUUCUCAAUUUGUCAAAUGUAUUAUUAUUAUUAUUAUUAUUUGUAAAGGACCCACUAAGGUAGUUGUUUGGAGUAUUUACUCCCUCAUGCAAGGUCCUGGUCGAUCUUUUCCUAGUAUUGACUAAUCAAGGCGCAAUUCUGAAGAUUAUUAAUAUAACGAUAUGCAAAUUAUCAAAAUCAGUCUUGAAAAGGAGGCAUGAAAUAUAUAUAUCUCGGAAUUCAUCGUUUCUGAUUCUUACCUUUGCACACUCUGACAACUAUAUAUAUUUUUAUUUUAAAACACUUGGAGAGCCUAAUAUUGGAGAAAAAAAGUCACCAGUUGGUUCUUACUGUGUUACAAAUUUCCCAUUUAGAAGUACAUCAAGAUGUUUUUCUAAAGUAUUGGACUUGAAGGGUAUUUCGUUGAAGUGUAAAGUUUAUUAGAGUAUAAGAUUCCUCAAAUUGUGACAAGUUUCAUAAUCUGAGAGAGUUAGUUAAGUCAUUAUGUUAAAGAUUAGUUAGCUAACUAACUCUGUAAUAACUCUGAUAAGUGUCAUACACAAGAUUUUGGUUAAUUUGUUUUUCUAAAUUUUGGGGGCUUACCCAAAUUAUCUAGGAAGGUCACCAUCAUAUAUUAGGGUGUUCAAGUUGUGGAACCCUAGCAAAUCAAAACCAUCAACAAAUAAGUAAGCUUUCAAAUCAACCUUAUAAUAAGUGGUGCAAAGUUGAGAAGAACAUAUUCUUCUCGAUGGGCAAUUUCUCAUUCCUUUUACAUAUAUGCUGCAAGGCAAUUUCUUUUUCCUUCGUUUCCUUAUCGCAUUUUAAGACAAACUUUGGUUCACGUGGCCAUGAAAUUUUUUCUAUGUUCCGGGUCAACUUAUUUCCACGUCCCAUAGCUAGUUGGUGGUGCAAAGUUGAGAAGAACAUAUCAUAAUGUGAAAGCAUGUGUGGCCGUAAGACGUAACAUGUGAAUAAACUAUAUUCUUAUAUCAUGAUUGAAUUAAUUAGAAAAUCCAACAAACACGAUCUAGUAACCAAUGAUUCGACUUAAAAAACUGAAUGGAAAUAAGGUGUGUAUUACGUAUAUCAUAAACUAAAAAAAUAUGAUAUAAUUAUCCAAGUGCACAAACAACCUAAGUUUGACGGAUUAAGAUUUCUCUAACUAAAGCAUCUUUGGCAUCAUUAGUUGUCGUGUACAUUAAUUAAGCUUAACAUGGACAUUAGAUAUUGAUGCUCCUGGUCGAUCUUUUUCAAGUAUUGUUGACUAAUCAAGGCGCAAUUUUGAAGAUUAUUAAUAUAACGAUAUGCAAAUUAUCAAAAUCGGCCUUGAAAAGGAGGCAUGAAGUAUUGUUGAUUAAUAAUUGGUGAAUGAUUAUAGCUUAGAACUAGUUCGCGACUCUCGCCUAAAUAAAUUUAGAGUGAUGCUAUUACAACCCCAUUUUCCUAUUUUAAGAAGCCGUUGAUGCAUCUAGGCAAAGAGCAGAAGUCUAUCUAGGCAAAGAGCAGAAGUCUUACUCUACACUCCUUAUGCAAGCCUAUGUAGGGUAAGGUUUUUGUGCUUGUAAUGUGUGCAAAAGUCUUGCUCAUCCAUAUGUAUAGGUGACAGUAUUUGGGUCCAUAUGACCCUUUUGAUCCAAUAUGGUAGGGUUUUUUGUGCUUGUAAUGUGUGCAAAAGUCUUACUCUACACUUCUUAUGCAAGCCUAUUUAGGGUAGGGUUUUUUGCGCUUGUAAUGUGUGUAUAAGAGAGGAGAGCUAAGCUUUAUAUGCAUAGGUGACAGUAUUAGGGUCAGGGACGGACCCUCGUUGUGUACAAACUGGGCUAUAUCCCAGUCAAGUAUUUUUCUUUUGUUAUUGUUAGUAUAAAACACAUAGACUAAAUAAGUUGCAAUAUGUGUUGUGAGUUGUCAACUAAUGUUAAUUUUAAGCAUAUAUAAUCAAUUGUUGCUGACAUUGUUGGUGUAAAAUUGGACUUUUAAAUAAAUAAAAUAAAAAUGAUAUGUCCUUAAAUUAAAUUUGUAUAAUAUUAUGAUUAAUUUCAUAAGUCUUCCUAUAAAGUUUUGCCGGAUCUAAAAUUUAGCCCACCCUAUUUCGAAAUCCUAAGUCCGUCCCUGAUUAGGGUCCAUAUGACUCUUUUGACCCAAUAUGGUUUCCACUUGCAUUUUAGGCUUUUUUUUGCUUAUUGUUUCCACCUUGGGCAAACCGAAUAAAGUAAAGUCUGAAAGCGCCAAGGUGGAUGAGGAGGAGAGCUUCAACUUUAAAUCCAACAACUUCAACUUCUAAAACAGAACAAAAAGAGAUCAUCGCACUGCAUCAAUUACUGUUUUCCCUAAUAUAAGCUUGAGUGCUUCUUCACCAUGCUCAUCAAUUCGUAUCUACCAAAACAACAAAGGAGGGCUUGAGAAACACUCAAAAAAUCUUAUUUUCCCGAGCAAAUUUUGAUUUGAUUUGUGACUUUUUGUUUCUCCCUAUUUCUAACCAAUAAUUUGCGUUCGUGAAUAUGAAAAUAUUUUGCACUUUUAAAAAUCCCGUAUUUGUUUUCUCAUACCUUCAAUAUUACGGUAAGGGAAUAAAACUAUCUCAAGUUUAAGGAUAAACACACUUAGUCACUUAAGCGACAAAUCUUUUAUUUACAAAUAAUAUUUUAAAAAACCUUGUUGGCCUUUUUUUUUUUUUUUUUUCCAAGUGUAGGUGUUUUGUUGAUGUCUAGUUGUUGUGUCUAGUUGUUGAUGGCUAGUGUGGAUGCAGAUUUCGUCCAAAAAAAAUAGUGUGGAUGCAGAUAGAACAGUCUGUUUUAAAGUCUCAAUAUCACAAUCACACCUUUAACAAUAGAGGAACUUUUUUCUUUGGUCAAUUAAAUAAUAGAGAAACUUUAAGUCCCACUCAACAGAGGAUCACAAAUGUACGGACGUGACCCCACGAAGGAUGUUCAUAAACGCGAAAAUAUAUUAUGGGGCGUGAGAAACAAAAUCCAGUUAGUUGAAAAAAUUGUGGAAGAUGUUGCGCCAGGUGUUGCGCGUUGAUGUGACACCUCUUUUUUUAUUUAUUUAUGUAUUUAUUUCAACAUCAACCCAAAUUGAUGAUCCAAAUUAAAUUCAAGCUAUUUUAAUAAUAAAAAAAAUAUUAAACAAUUGAUAUUUAAAUUUAACGGUUAAAAUAAUAUUUUAAAUUAAUUUAAAUCAUAUCCAAAUUCACUCUAAACUCUAUAAAUACUCACUUAUUUCUCAAAUAAAAUUAUAUUUAUGGAAUUUUAAUUUUUUUUAGUCAAAUUGUUUAAAAAAAUUAAAUUAUGAAGUUAUUUAAAAAGAUUAAAUGAAGAAAAAUUAUCCAUGGAAAAAAAAAUAUUAGACUUAAACUAUUCUUAAACAAUUUAAUAAAGUUGCGGACUAAAAAUUUGAUUAUGAAGGGUUGAGGGAAAAAACGGUUUUGAUAUGGGCAAAACCCAAAUAGUUACUUUUUGAAAUGGGAAAAUUUGGGUUUAGUACCAAAUGAGUUGGAGAAUGCCUAAGAGAAUUAAUUAAGAUGGUUUUCACACCAACUGCUUGAAGCUUCAAGGAGGUUUCUUCUUAAUGUUCACCAUGUGACAAGUAUUCUGUUGACUAGAGCUCCAUUAUACCGUCUCCUAAGACCACUGUUCGUAACUCAAUACUUUUUUCAUUAGACUAGAUUCCAUUAGCAAAAAAUUUAUUAUAUUCUACAUUAAUGUUGUUUAAAAAAGUGGUACAAAUCACCUUUUUACCCAAACUAGUGUGUCUUUUUUGUUGUUGUUGUCUCAGUUAAAUAUACUUGAAUACUUUUCGAUUUGAGUGGAUUGUAUUUUCUAGCGAUAAUCUUCCCGUGAUGACCAGGGACGGAUCCAGGAUUUCAAAAUGACGUGGGCUAAAUUUACCUUACAUACAAACCUAUUGAAAAAACUCAACGGUACAAGUAAAUUUCAUUGAUAACAAAAAAAUACACGAGAGACAUAAUGAGUCUUACCCUUCAAAUAACACUUAUAUAAGUUGCGCUAUUCAAGUCUUCACAACAUUAAAAUCACAAUUAUUGAUUCAUUAUUUAUAUUAUCAGCAAAUUCUCUUUCAAUAUGAAGUAGGAUACAAUUAGCAAGAAACUCAUCACCUAUCUUAUUCCAAAGUCGAUUUUUAAUAAGUCUCAUACAUGAAAAUGCUCAUUCUGUUGUUGUUGUAGACACAAGAAGAGUUAGAACCAAAUGAAUCAAUCUAUCAAUCAAGUAGUAUGUUUCUGCUAAUUUUGUUCUUUUUAUUUAUUUGUUCAACCUAGUCCUAAUAGGAUUAGUUAAUAAUAUUUUAUUUAGGUGGUUAGCCAAGUCUUAAUGGGAUUAAUUAAUAAUAUUUUAUUUAGAUGACUUAGGCUAGAAUAUUAAUUUAGUCUAUAAAAAAAACAAGCUGCCUGGACUUUAGCCCAAGUUAGCAUGUUAGUAGGUACGUGCCUGGUGAUGACUUAAGAAAAUGAACUAUUCGGAUAAUGGGAAGUAUUACGGAGUGGAUACAAAAAAGUAAUUUUUGUAUUAGCUUAUUAACUAGUUAGCACUAAAAAGCUAUUGAUUGUAGUAAACAUAUUUCCGACAUGUAGUCUAGAUAACAGCCAUAAAUGUGGUUUAAUGUUAGUUACUAGCUAGCUACUUACUAUUAUCUAUCUAGCUAAUAUCUAAUCAUCUAUAUUACACAUUACAUCUAAAACCAUGUCAUUGAGUUUCAAUCCGACCAAUUCCAUAAUGUAGAGGGGAUCAUGGCUCUGUAUGCUUGUUUUCCUAGGUGCUUACCAGAAGUGUGUGCCAGAUUAAUUCAUUCACACACAAACACUAGGUGCAACAAGUAUCUGCUUGUUUUUCUUUUGUUUCCCUGUCGCUUUUUCAGACAAACUUUGGUUCACGUGGCGAUGAAAAAGCUUGAGGCUGAGGAUUCAAAGUACAAAAACAACCGAACCUUAAUUCAGUUAGGAUUUUUCUAUCAUCUGGGUGGCUAAGAUUGUGCAAUAGUCAUCUGUUUAAUAAGACAAUUUUACUAUUAUUUAUCACCCCUUGGCCCCUCUGCUUUUGUCUUCGAUCUCCCUCAACUUCUUUCAUUAUCUGAUAGCUAUUUAAUAAAAUCUUAAUCUCCUGCCAUCCAGGUUUAGUUCAUUGAAAAAUAGUAUUCAUUUGUAGAUUAGAGUUUUUAAGUUCGAAACCCCAUGACAUCUCCCAUCUCUAAUUAUGUGUGUGAAUGAAGUAUCGCUUGGAUACUAAAAAAUAAUUCCUAAUCUCCUUUUUCAACUCACCAACCCUCUAUUUUAUAUGUAUAUUAAAGAGAAGUAGUUGCAUCUCGGCAAGAGCAAAAGUUUUAAUGUACACUCCUUAUGCAAGCCUAUAUGGAAGAGGAGACCUAAGCCGAUAACGAAACAAUUCUUAGAAAAGAAAAAAACAACAAACCCUUAUUUGGUAUUGAUGUAUAUUGUGGAUGCAGAUGGAGCAGUCUAUUUCUCUGAGGGGUCGUUUGGUACGGCGGACUGUCAUGGACUGGACUAAAUUCUGUGACUAUUUUGGAUUAGCUCGGAUUGGCCUAAGCUGGAUUGAGUACUGACCUACGUUUGUGCUGCGUCGGACUAAGAAGCUGCAUUGUAAAAAUAGUAAAGACCUAUGUUUGGUGUUGUGACAGACUAAAAUAUAAUUAUUUUAAUAAUCAAUUUUAAUUAAAAAUAAAUAAAAUUCUAAUAUUUAAUUUUAAUUAAAGAUUGCUAAAACUAUCUUAUCUCAUCUUUUUUUUUUUCUUUUUUUCUUUCUUCCUAUUUUCUUCUUCCUUCCCAAGUUCCUAGGCCAUCCCCUUUUUUUUAUUUUUUCCUUUCUUCCUCUCUUCUUCUUCCUUCCUUCUUAAUCAACUGUCUAGAUUGAAAGCUGUAACCUUUACUGAGAGACAGAGUGGUCAAGGGUUUUAGGUGAGAAAAAGCGCAGAGAGACAGAGAGACAGAGACAGAGGCUGAAAAUUCAAUACCAACUAUUUAUUCCAUAAGUUCAACUUGAUGUUUUCUAUGUCAUUUCCCGGAAGAAUCCUUUAAUGGGUAUCAAUUAGUUUUUAGAAUUUUUUUCAAACCAAUUCAUGACUUCCUUCUCUCAGUCUCAUACAAGAAAGCCCACAUCUCCGUUAAUAGUGUCCCCUUUUGCAGUUGUCCUGAUCAUGGUGGAUGAUUUCUUGGAUCAAUUGGGUUUGAAAGUGGUUUUUUGAAUUUGGGUUCAAAUGGGUUGUGGUCCCAUUGGGUUUGAAUUGGUAGGGGUUGAUUCGAGUGACUGGGUUUGAAUUGGUGGUGGUUGGUUCGAAGGACUGGGUUUGACGAUGGUCUGUGGUGAUUCUGGUGGUUGGGUUGGGUCUAUGGUGGUUACAAUUCUAGGUGAAGAAGAAGAAGCUGGUUAUUGUCGGACUCGCGUUCUCUGUUUAUUGAAAUCGCUAUUUUGCGAACCGUGUUUGAGGCUCACUAAAUUGGAAGAGCGAGUGAGGCUUUUUGUUUACUGUUGUACUAUACAAUCCCAUUUAAUUUAGUUCCCCUCUUACCAAACAUGAUUUUCAGGGGCCGUUUGGUACACCGGAUUAUUAUAGAUUGGACUAAAUCCUUGGACUGUCUUGGAUUAGCUCGAAUUGGCUUAAGCUGGAUUAAGUACUGACCUACCUUUGGUGCUGUGUCAGACUAAGAAGCUGGAUUGUAAAAAUAGUGAAGACCUAUGUUUGGUGAUGUAUUGGAUUAAAACAAUUAUUUAAAUAUUUAAAAUUCAUUAGGGAUUUUGACCUAAAACUAAGUAAAUGCUACAAAGAAACCAACGAAAAAUGUAUAAUUUAUUAAAUAAAAAAAUUAUAAUUUUUUUAAAAGCUAAAACUAUCUUUAUCUCAUGUCUUUCUUCUUUUUUUCUACUUUUUCUUUUGAGUGCUGCUAAACGAACCCUAAAAUUAACUGAGUAGACCCUACUACCAAACUAUUUAUUGAAUUACUAAUUUAUCAUAAUAUAAAAUGACCAAAAAGGAUCUAUUGAAUUGUGAAACAAAUAAAACUUUAAUAAGUACACCUUACUCACUAUAUUCAACCCUUAUCAGACAUAAAAAAAAGUCUUCAUAUUGCUUGGUGCUCACGAAUAACGCAACUAGGGAAAAGAACAGUCCACGCAUGAGCAAGUAUUAAACUCUAACGGAACCCGGGGUUAGUAAAGAUAGUUUACCUCCCCUGCCCACGAAUAUCGUUCUUGAUGCUAAAAUCUCCCUCUAUAGGUGUCGAGGGCCUUUACGGCUUCUUCAUUCCUAGCCGAGUUCUGAACUGAUGUGUAGCAUCGGGGCCGCGGGAUCAAGCUUCGGGCUAGCUUAGAUACCUGUCCGAUCUAUCAGGGGGUUACUUAAGUGGGCCAACAGGUGGCCUAUAUGAUCGUUACCGCCUCUUAAGGAGCUUGCUAUCGUAACCCUUUCUCCCGGUGUAUGUGAAAAAGAGUGACGAACCCAUUUUUUUUUUCGGAGGCUAUUUCACCAUUGGGACUAAUAAUAGUACCCCCCGCAACGAGUACUAGUUUAGGAUUGGUAUUAUGAAAUUAAAGAUUUUGAUGAAACCCAAAAUCUGAAAAGAGAGCACAGAUUCAUGUAAAAAGAGAAACUUUGUUUAGGAUUGGUAUUAGAGUAUUGUACUAGGGCUAUUUUUGGUAGCUAAAUAGGGUGUACUUAAUUAAUUUUACAUUUUAAUUAAAAUAUUAGGGUUAACUUAGAUUAUAGGGUGUACUUAGUUAAUUUUAGGGUUCGUUUAGCAGCACUCUGUCUUUUGUCUUCCUUUUUCUCCCUUUUUCUUUUUCUUCUUCCUUCCCAGGCCCACUUUCUUUUUUUCUUUUUUCUCUCUUCCUCCCGAUCUCACUCUAUGGUUCUCUCUUUUUUUCUCCAAUAUUGAUACAAUGAUAUCCUUCUCCUUCUCUCUCCUUUUCUAUCUCUCCCUCCCAACCUUUCUCUGCCUCCUCAUCAUUUUCUCUCUCUUAUUCCCCUGUGAAGUCACCGAUUUUCAUCUCCUUUCAAGUCACAAAUCUCCAUCUGAUUUCAUUGAGCCAUGGUUGAUGGUUGAUGAUUUUUCAUAGGGUUCAAUUGGGUUUGACAGUGGUGGUUGAAUUUGGUUUUGGUUCCACUGGAUUUGAAUUGGUGGUGGUUGAUUUGAGUGGGUGGGUUUGAAUUGGUGGCGGUUGAUUCAAGUGGCUGGGCUUGAAUUGGUGGUGGAUGGUUUGAGUGACUGGGUUUGACGACUGUCUGUGGUGAUUCUGGUGGUUCGACUGGGGAUAUGGUGGUGACAAUUCUAGGUGAAGAAGAAGAAGAAGUUGGUUAUCGUUGGACUCGCUUGCUCUGUUUAGCAAGCUCGCUAUUUUGCGAACCAUUUUUCAAGCUCGUUAUAUUGAACCAAUGAGCGAGGCAAAUUUUUUACUGUUAGACUAUUUAAUCUCAUUUAGGUUAGUCCUCCUCUUACCAAACAUGGGUUUUCAAGUGCUAUUUAACCCAAUUCAAUAUAGUGAGGGGUACCAAACAUGCCCUCAAAGUGUUAUUUAACACUGUCCAGGGCAGUCCAGCCUACCAAACAUGCCCGACGUCUCAAUAAUUUCUCGUUCAUGUGUACGGAUCAUAAACGCGAAAAUAUAUUAUGGGGUAUGAGAAACAAAAAUCCAAUUACAUGAAAAUAUCAAUGACCAACAAGCUUAAACCAUAAAAAUUCACUUUCAAUUUCGCAUACAAUAACUAGAUUGGAGUUUUGGGUUCAAGCAUCAAAUUAUGUGGUGGAUUUUUUUUUUUUAAUUUAAAAAAAAAAUCUUGUUAAACUUGAACUGGAGUUUCUAAAUCUUCUUUGUGUGCUUCUAAUCAACAAAAAACAUCUAAUUAACAAUCUUGAACAUGAACUUCUUUUUUCAAGGGUCUUAAUUUGAGUUUGGAUAGCUAGUUAGGGUUUUGGGUUUUCUACGAAUCGAAAACUGAAGCUAAAUUGAUAAUUUUUCGAAGAAACUUCGCUUCCAUUUCCUUUAACGCAUUUCAAAUCAAAGUAUGAAUAACACAAAGAUGACCAAAUGUCAACAACUUUAUUCUUAACAAUAAACUGAAGUCCAAGAGACCUGAAAGGUACAAACGUUACAUAAACAAAGCAUAUGGAACAUAAGCCCCAUUUCUUGAAUAUUCAUCUCAACGCUUCUUUGUCAACGAGAUAACCAGGUUAAUGAACUGGCAGUUUUCCCUUUCCAUGUGAUCAAGAACAUCUGCUUCAAACCUACGAAACAAAUCGUCCAUGGGUGCUUCUCCGAAUUGGCACGCCAGAAUCGGCUCUCCCACAGCCCUUAUGUCAGUGGCAAAUAUUGCAGCCCUUGUCUUCUUAUCAAGGCCACUGUUAGCUUGCUUGACAUAAGAGUCCCAAUCAUUUUUGAAAACUUCAAGGUUUUGCAAAAUAAAUGAUCCUUCAGCCUGGAUCACCUCUUCUAUCUCCUUCGUUGUAGGUGUAUAGAAUGGCAUAUUGAAUGCGUCCAAUUUUUCCUUACCAAUCAAACCCUGAUAAUUCAUCAAAAUAUACAUUUCUAAAUAGCUAAAAAGGAAAUAUAUUGCAGCCCUACUUGCUAGAAUCUAAUAUUUAAUUACCUCUAAAACCAUGUCAUUGAGUUUCAGUCCUACAAAUUCCCAAAUGCAGAGGGGAUCGUCACUCUUUAUGCUGCCCAUGGUUGUGAGGACCAUACUGCCACCAGGGACGAGCUCUUUGGCACGUGACCUCAGAAAGACUGUGAAGUCCCUUUUGAAUUGCUCCAAGUAUUGCUUAAACACAGCUGGAGGGCUUGUCUUUGCUAUAUAUAUGUUCCCCUUGUUAAGUGCCUCUCCUUCUUUGGUCACCAAGCCUUUUGGAAUCUACGUACACACGUUUAUGCUCAUCACUUGUCAGAUUAAAUUAUCAGAAACGAUUUUAGAAUUAUUAUUAUUUUACCAAUUGAAUAAAGCUAAAAAAUUAGACAAACUUGCAAGAUAUAUAUAUAUUUUUAAAUCCCUAGUUGAUUGAGAAAGUCUUCUCAUGGAGAUAUUUUUAUGUUUGAAUGCAGCAUCCUGCCAUGUGGUGUAACUAAUGAGUUAUAUAUAACUGGGUGUAUGAAGAGUUUAUGCCUAAUAACGGACUCAAUGAUUGAUUAAAAAAAAUCCAAACCUCAGAGAUCCAGUGGAGAGCAUAAGAAGAGUGAACAAAGUGGAGAGAAUUGUCGGGGAAGAGCCUGCCAUAGAAAGAGCCAGGCAUUCCUGCAAUGAAACAUGGCCCAAGCUUCUUUUCAGGUUCUUCAUCAAGUUUCUUAUAGAAGCCUGGCAAUGAUCUGAACACCGUGUUGAAAUCGUUUCGGGGAAGAUCAUUCAAGAAGGCUUGGAGUGAUGGAGGUGGGCGGUUGCGCUUUUGGAAAGUGUUGCGGAUGUUGUCUAUGAUAUCUGAUACCACCAAAAGGGUGUUGGGUCCUGAAGAGCAUCCCAAGUCCGCUACUUUCAAACACUCUGGGAACAGAGUGCAACACAGCUCCUCUAUGCUU